Long non-coding RNA from Nicotiana tabacum (common tobacco), 603 nucleotides. RefSeq lists it as uncharacterized. The record is from RefSeq and is a predicted model, not a curated record. NCBI's taxonomy places the organism in Eukaryota, Viridiplantae, Streptophyta, Magnoliopsida, Solanales, Solanaceae.
AGUUUUGAGAAAUGGGAAAUUCAUUUUUUUUUUAAUCUACUUAGCCUCCUAUAAAACAAGAAAAGAAGAAAGUGACGCAACCACUAUCCAACAACCAGAACUUGAAUCUUUAAAGCUAGGUUUUGAGAUUAUGUUUAUAUUUAUUUUAUCAAGAGCAAAAUUGUCAUUUUACCUUGCCAUUUUAUUUUUUCCCUACUUCUAAUUUUAACGAUGCUCGCUAUUUCGACACAAACGAGGGUCUAGAAACAUCUCUCCUCUGUUCCAUCAUAACUACGGCCUUUGAGUUCUUCUUCUUCUUCAGAAUUUCUUCUUCAGAAUUUGAAGAAUACCAUUUCAGAUCCCCGCGCAGCAGCUUUUGGACCUUAGCUUGGGGUGGCUGCCUUCAGUCCAUUCGGAGAUCCAAGGUAGUCCUACAGGCGUCCGCAGGCCCUGGCGUCUACCUCUAUCCUUUCUUCCCGUUUUAUUUACGUAUUUCAGAAAGAGUGUUGUAUUUACUUUUCAGACCUUGUUUGUAGUAUUCCUAGACCGUCUGUGAAGUUGUGACACCAGUUCUGGGUAGUAUUUGUUUAAGAAAUUGUAUUGGAAAGAUUUAAAUGGUUUUAA